AUACGUAGGUGGCAAGCGUUGUCCGGAAUUAUUGGGCGUAAAGCGCGCGCAGGCGGUCCUUUAAGUCUGAUGUGAAAGCCCACGGCUCAACCGUGGAGGGUCAUUGGAAACUGGGGGACUUGAGUGCAGAAGAGGAAAGUGGAAUUCCAAGUGUAGCGGUGAAAUGCGUAGAGAUUUGGAGGAACACCAGUGGCGAAGGCGACUUUCUGGUCUGUAACUGACGCUGAGGCGCGAAAGCGUGGGGAGCAAACAGGAUUAGAUACCCUGGUAGUCCACGCUGUAAACGAUGAGUGCUAAGUGUUAGGGGGUUUCCGCCCCUUAGUGCUGCAGCUAACGCAUUAAGCACUCCGCCUGGGGAGUACGGUCGCAAGACUGAAACUCAAAGGAAUUGGCGGGG
RNAcentral lists this ribosomal RNA (397 nucleotides) under uncultured bacterium. RNAcentral describes it as "partial 16S ribosomal RNA". It matches the Rfam family "Bacterial small subunit ribosomal RNA", at positions 523 to 918 of the family's 1533-position model. The record is from RNAcentral.